Molecule: ribosomal RNA, 257 nt
Filed under: uncultured bacterium
Lineage: Bacteria
Description: partial 16S ribosomal RNA
Rfam family: Bacterial small subunit ribosomal RNA
Source: RNAcentral
UACGUAGGGUGCAAGCGUUGUCCGGAAUUAUUGGGCGUAAAGAGCUCGUAGGCGGUCUGUCGCGUCGGCUGUGAAAUCCCGGAGGCUCAACCUCGGGUCUGCAGUCGAUACGGGCAAACGUAGAGUAUUGCAGGGGAGACUGGAAAUUCCUGGUGUAGCGGUGAAAUGCGCAGAUAUCAGGAGGAACACCUGUGGCGAAGGCGGCCCCUGGUUGGAUACUGACGCGUGAUACGGCGAAAAGCUAGGGAGCAAACAGG